This 221-nucleotide long non-coding RNA is filed under the name Elaeis guineensis (African oil palm). RNAcentral's name for it is "long non-coding RNA (EGUI_LNC001567)". The record is from RNAcentral. Lineage: Eukaryota; Viridiplantae; Streptophyta; Magnoliopsida; Arecales; Arecaceae.
GACUUGUCAUCAUUAUCCUAUUCAAAAACGUCGGACACUACUCGACUAUCAGACUCUACGGGAUGAUCGUGUCGACAAGCUACGUUUGGGGAUUGACCGACAUCCGACCCGACGUGCACGUCCGACCAAGGUCCAGGCAACGGAUGCUCGACCUACAAUCGGGACGACUCUCGACCAUCGAAUCCUAUGCAACCUGUACGACAGUCAGGAUGCCGGCCUAC